AGAGUUUGAUCCUGGCUCAGAUUGAACGCUGGCGGCAUGCCUUACACAUGCAAGUCGAACGGCAGCACGGGAGCUUGCUCCUGGUGGCGAGUGGCGAACGGGUGAGUAAUACAUCGGAACGUACCCAGGAGUGGGGGAUAACGUAGCGAAAGUUACGCUAAUACCGCAUAUUCUGUGAGCAGGAAAGCGGGGGAUCGCAAGACCUCGCGCUCUUGGAGCGGCCGAUGUCGGAUUAGCUAGUUGGUGAGGUAAAGGCUCACCAAGGCGACGAUCCGUAGCAGGUCUGAGAGGAUGAUCUGCCACACUGGGACUGAGACACGGCCCAGACUCCUACGGGAGGCAGCAGUGGGGAAUUUUGGACAAUGGGGGCAACCCUGAUCCAGCCAUGCCGCGUGAGUGAAGAAGGCCUUCGGGUUGU
Molecule: ribosomal RNA, 418 nt
Filed under: uncultured bacterium
Lineage: Bacteria
Description: bacterial SSU rRNA
Rfam family: Bacterial small subunit ribosomal RNA
Source: RNAcentral